AUUAAGCAAAUUAGUAACUUUUCAAAGCACAUAGAGCAGGCCCUGACACCUAAAAGGUGUUGAUAUCAGCUCCUUGAAGAUAUGGUCUGUUGCUGGCCUUUGACUCCUUACUGCCAUGGAAGGCACGCAAGAUCUCUGAGCCAUUCCCUCUGUCCGUGAGGCAUUAAGCCAAAUGUGCCCCUGCUCUCAAAGCCAAUCUUGUCUCUCAUAUCUGAAAACAUAGUGCAGUGAGGGGACUCCCUAUCCCAGGCAGGGUGCUACAGUGGGAAGCCUGAAGUCUCCCCAUAACCUGGUUCAGCUAGGAAAACUCAGUUCCUGUGGGUUACAGUUGCUUUGAGGUGCCCUGGCCUGGUCUUCUAGAGCCCAACAGGCUUAUCCCAGGGACCCUUCCCCAACUGGCACCCAAGCCCACCAGUACCUGUGCAUUCUGUGCCUUGACGUUGUCUGUGACAAUGACUCUCUUGUAAAUGCCUCUGUGUUUCUGGGCCCCUCCUCCUCAGGUCAACAUGGUUACUGGGUUGAAGAUGGCACAGUUAGCCAGAGGCUUGGCAUGUAUGGCCAGCACAUGGGUGAGGCCCCAAUCCUCAACUCUCUCACACAAACGUUCGCUCAGUGCCAACUUUUAGCUGGAUCCUGGGAGUUCAGAGAAAAAGGAAUCAGUCCCGUCUCCUGGAAGGCAAAGCUGCUAUUGUGUCCAGCCAUUCAAGGCAGGUCCUGACGGAUGAGCUUUUGAUAUAUACGAGACUGUUUCGUGUGGCACUGGAAAAACUGAUUUAGAUGCAGGAACCUCUCGGAGCCACUGAUAUUCCCAGGACACUUGUUUCCAUGCAUGUCACCUGAACAGAUGCCACGGGUCACCUGGGCAAAGUCCCUUGGGGCCUUCAAGAUGAGCAAGACAUGUCUUCCCUAGUCGGUAGAAAGAAAGACGCACCCUGCGUGAAUCAGAAGGAUCGUCUCCAGAUCCGCGUCCAUCAGAGGCCCCUCUGGGGUUUCUGUGUCUUUGGGGAAGAGCCUACUAGUGUUCUUCCCGGCCCUUCCUCUCCGUCACUCCAGCUGGUGGGGCUCCCUCAGGUGUUCCCUUCUUCCUGCUCACACCUCAGUAUCUCACAGCACAUCGAGGCUGGCCUGUGCCCAUCCUGGGUCACCUGUGCCUCCCAGAAGUCAGACCCACCUUCCUCCCUUUCUCUUCACUCUGGCCACGACGCGGGCCAGCCCACUGACAUCUCUACAUCCAUUAAAUUAUUUAUUCUGUGUGUGUGCACAUGUGCCGGGGCGUGUGUGUGUGUAGUGUUCAGGUGCACAUGCACAUGCAUGUGUGUGGAAGGUCAAGGUUGACACUGGGUGUCUUCUUCAACUGUUGACCUUCUUUAAGAAAAAGUUUUGCUGGGCAGUGGUGGCGUACGCCUUUAAUCCCAGCACUUGGGAGGCAGAGGCAGGUGGAUUUCUGAGUUCUAGGCUAGCCUGAUCUACAAAGUGAGUUCCAGGACAGCCAGGGCUACACAGAGAAACCCUGUCUCGAAAAAACAAAAAAGAAAAAGAAAAGAAAAAGUUUUAUGUGCAUUUGUGUGCAUCUACAUAAGUAAAAGCCUUCUGUGUGAGGGGCCUUUUGAGGUCAGAAGUUAUGAGCUCUCUAUCAUGAUGCCACGCCUAAUGACCGUUGUUUGAUUCCCCAGGAUACACAUGGUGAGAACCAGUCCCUGGCAAACUGUCCUCUGACUUCCACAUUCACACUGGUAUAUGAGUACCCAUGUGUGCGCAUGAGUACCCAUGUGUGCGCAUGAGCACACACAUACACGCACACAUUCACACAUAUAAAUGUAAUUUAAAAAUAUUAAGUGGCUACCUUGGCCUGGCAGGCCAGCCAUAAGAUAACGUAGGAAAGAGAUGGAUAGAUCUGUUUGGGCUUGCCCUAGAGACAAGAAGGCACAGUGAUAGAGUGUGCUACAGGGUAGCCCACCCCAUCUGUGAUGCCAGGAAAGAAUUAGAUGUAAAAGUUGAGAAUUGGCUGGAGCAGGCAUGGUGGGGGCUCACGGGUUAGGUCCUGAUGAGGACAGAGGACUUCAAGGGAUCAGGGGAAAGGUAUAGGGAUGGAGCCUGGGCACUGAGGGAGGAGUGGGUACCAGCCCACAGAAGGAAGACAGUGGGGCCACACUUUAGAAGGACUGGGUAACAAAUUGGUCUGGCUUUCCUUCUGAAUACACUGGGAUGUUAAAAGGAGCAGGCUAUGGCAUGCUGUCUAUUUUUAAAAAAUCAAUCUGGCCACAGUGUUGAGAAUGGGCCACGGGAGGAAGCUUGGGAGCGGGAAGGGCGGUUUGGACAUUCUCGUGGCUGCUGGGCAAAAGGUGAUGGUGGUUUGGGUAUCCAUGAGUUCUGUUUAGGAAGAGCUGAUAGACAGGCUCAGCUCUUGGAGGAAGUGAAGGAGAAGGCAGAGUCCCAGAGCACGGGUUCCAUCUCACAGGCACCUUUCUAGUUUCCCUGUUCCCUCUCUUCCUAGGACUCAUUAUAUGACAGCCUCAUAGCCUCAGGCAGAGCCACUUGUCCAGACUUGAAGGAGGGAGCAAGGGGACCACUGCCCAGAUCUGAAAUGGGCACACAAGCAAUGAGCUCAUUGAUGGUCUUUGUCCUACUGUUGGUCCUGGGACUGUCAUGUAAACCAUCUGAGCCUCAGUUUCCCCAUCUGAUGGGUCACGCGAGACAGUCCUUGCUGGCCCUUCAGAAAGUGCUACUGCAGUCAGCUGUGGCCCCCUGGCCUAGGC
This 2756-nucleotide long non-coding RNA is filed under the name Mus musculus (house mouse). RNAcentral describes it as "long non-coding RNA chr19:10439896-10442652". The record is from RNAcentral. Lineage: Eukaryota; Metazoa; Chordata; Mammalia; Rodentia; Muridae.